RNAcentral lists this long non-coding RNA (322 nucleotides) under Nicotiana benthamiana. RNAcentral's name for it is "long non-coding RNA (NBEN_LNC001938)". The record is from RNAcentral. Lineage: Eukaryota; Viridiplantae; Streptophyta; Magnoliopsida; Solanales; Solanaceae.
UAUUUUAUUAUUAUAAUAGGUAAGUUUAGUAGUUUUACGCUAUGUUACGCUCCAAAAUGCUGACACAUCCGUGUCGGAUCCUCCAAAAAUACAUUACUUUUGGAGGAUCCGACAUGAACUCGACAACAUUUUCGAAGAGUCCGAGCAACAUAGGUUUUACGUUAAUAAUGGUAAAGUUCAGUGGAAAAAACAAUUUUUUGACUUUACUAUUAUGGUGGAUAUAAUUUAGUGAUCAUACGUGAAAUUAAUCCAAACAAGAACAGAUGAAUUCAAAGCCUGAGAAUCUUUUUCGGGAUCUCAUGAGCUUACCUCCAAGAAUUUG